RNAcentral lists this transfer RNA (65 nucleotides) under Dipodomys ordii (Ord's kangaroo rat). It matches the Rfam family "tRNA". From Rfam's summary of the family: Transfer RNA (tRNA) molecules are approximately 80 nucleotides in length. Their secondary structure includes four short double-helical elements and three loops (D, anti-codon, and T loops). Further hydrogen bonds mediate the characteristic L-shaped molecular structure. tRNAs have two regions of fundamental functional importance: the anti-codon, which is responsible for specific mRNA codon recognition, and the 3' end, to which the tRNAs corresponding amino acid is attached (by aminoacyl-tRNA synthetases). tRNAs cope with the degeneracy of the genetic code in two manners: having more than one tRNA (with a specific anti-codon) for a particular amino acid; and 'wobble' base-pairing, i.e. permitting non-standard base-pairing at the 3rd anti-codon position. The record is from Rfam by way of RNAcentral. Lineage: Eukaryota; Metazoa; Chordata; Mammalia; Rodentia; Heteromyidae.
GGUGGCUCAGUGAUAGAGCACAUGCCUUGAAUGCAUGAGGCCCUGGGUUCAAUUCCCCAGCACCA